This 274-nucleotide ribosomal RNA is filed under the name uncultured bacterium. RNAcentral's name for it is "partial 16S ribosomal RNA". It matches the Rfam family "Bacterial small subunit ribosomal RNA", at positions 523 to 796 of the family's 1533-position model. The record is from RNAcentral.
AUACGGAGGGUGCAAGCGUUGUUCGGAAUCACUGGGCGUAAAGGGCGCGCAGGCGGUUUGGUGAGUCAGAUGUGAAAGCCCACGGCUCAACCGUGGAAGUGCAUUUGAAACUGCCAGACUUGAGUACCAGAGGGGAAAGUGGAAUUCCCGGUGUAGAGGUGAAAUUCGUAGAUAUCGGGAGGAAUACCGGUGGCGAAGGCGACUUUCUGGCUGGAUACUGACGCUGAGGCGCGAAAGCGUGGGGAGCAAACAGGAUUAGAAACCCUUGUAGUCC